GCCCUUAGAAGUUUGAUCCUGGCUCAGGAUGAACGCUAGCGGCAGGCUUAACACAUGCAAGUCGAGGGGUAACAGGGAUUAGUUUACUAGUUUGCUGACGACCGGCGCACGGGUGNGUAACGCGUAUACAAUUUACCUUUUACAGGGGNAUAGCCCAGNGAAAUUUGGAUUAAUGCCCCAUGGUAUUAUCGGNUCGCAUGGUUUGAUAAUUAAAGUUUCGGCGGUAAAAGAUGAGUAUGCGUCCUAUUAGCUAGAUGGUGAGGUAACGGCUCACCAUGGCUACGAUAGGUAGGGGUCCUGAGAGGGAGAUCCCCCACACUGGUACUGAGACACGGACCAGACUCCUACGGGAGGCAGCAGUGAGGAAUAUUGGGCAAUGGAGGCAACUCUGACCCAGCCAUGCCGCGUGCAGGAAGACGGCCCUAUGGGUUGUAAACUGCUUUUAUACAGGAAGAAACCCAUCCACGUGUGGAUGGCUGACGGUACUGUACGAAUAAGGACCGGCUAACUCCGUGCCAGCAGCCGCGGUAAUAAGGGCG
RNAcentral lists this ribosomal RNA (539 nucleotides) under uncultured bacterium. RNAcentral's name for it is "bacterial SSU rRNA". It matches the Rfam family "Bacterial small subunit ribosomal RNA", at positions 1 to 531 of the family's 1533-position model. The record is from RNAcentral.